GCUUUCCUACGGGGCGCAGCAGUGGGGAAUAUUGCACAAUGGGCGCCCGCCUGAUGCAGCGACGCCGCGUGCGGGAUGGAGGCCUUCGGGUUGUAAACCGCUUUUGUUCAAGGGCAAGGCACGGUCUUUGGCCGUGUUGAGUGGAUUGUUCGAAUAAGCACCGGCUAACUACGUGCCAGCAGCCGCGGUAAUACGUAGUGUGCAAGCGUUAUCCGGCUUUAUUGGGCGUAAAGGGCUCGUAUGCGGUUCGUCGCGUCCGGUGUGAAAGUCCAUCGCUUAACGGUGGAUCCGCGCCGGGGAC
Molecule: ribosomal RNA, 301 nt
Filed under: uncultured bacterium
Lineage: Bacteria
Description: bacterial SSU rRNA
Rfam family: Bacterial small subunit ribosomal RNA
Source: RNAcentral